CCUACGGGAGGCAGCAGUGAGGAAUAUUGGUCAAUGGGCGGGAGCCUGAACCAGCCAAGUCGCGUGAGGGAUGACGGCCCUAUGGGUUGUAAACCUCUUUUGCCGGGGAGCAAACUGCCGCACGUGUGCGGUUUGGAGAGUACCCGGAGAAAAAGCAUCGGCUAACUCCGUGCCAGCAGCCGCGGUAAUACGGAGGAUGCGAGCGUUAUCCGGAUUUACUGGGUGUAAAGGGAGCGUAGACGGCUGUGCAAGUCUGAAGUGAAAGCCCGUGGCUCAACCGCGGAACUGCUUUGGAAACUGUAGAGCUUGAGUACGGGAGAGGCAGGCGGAAUUCCUAGUGUAGCGGUGAAAUGCGUAGAUAUUAGGAGGAACACCAGUGGCGAAGGCGGCCUGCUGGACAGAAACUGACGUUGAGGCUCGAAAGCGUGGGGAGCAAACAGGAUUAGAUACCCGAGUAGUC
Molecule: ribosomal RNA, 460 nt
Filed under: uncultured bacterium
Lineage: Bacteria
Description: partial 16S ribosomal RNA
Rfam family: Bacterial small subunit ribosomal RNA
Source: RNAcentral